CCUACGGGAGGCAGCAGUGAGGAAUAUUGGUCAAUGGACGAGAGUCUGAACCAGCCAAGUAGCGUGAAGGAUGACUGCCCUAUGGGUUGUAAACUUCUUUUAUAUGGGACUAAAAUGUUCCACGUGUGGGAUUUUGUAUGUACCCUAUGAAUAAGGAUCGGCUAACUCCGUGCCAGCAGCCGCGGUAAUACGGAGGAUCCGAGCGUUAUCCGGAUUUAUUGGGUUUAAAGGGAGUAUAGGUGGAUUGUUAAGUCAGUUGUGAAAGUUUGCGGCUCAACCGUAAAAUUGCAGUUGAAACUGGCAGGCUUGAGUACAGUAGAGGUGGGCGGAAUUCGUGGUGUAGCGGUGAAAUGCUUAGAUAUCACGAAGAACUCCGAUUGCGAAGGCAGCUCACUGGACUGCAACUGACACUGAGGCUCGAAAGUGUGGGUAUCAAACAGGAUUAGAUACCCGUGUAGUC
RNAcentral lists this ribosomal RNA (460 nucleotides) under uncultured bacterium. RNAcentral describes it as "partial 16S ribosomal RNA". It matches the Rfam family "Bacterial small subunit ribosomal RNA", at positions 338 to 795 of the family's 1533-position model. The record is from RNAcentral.